GCACUUUGGUCAAUUUGACUAAAGUUCGACAUUUUUAUUUUUCGAAUUUUCGGUAUAUUACAGUUGAAGAGGGUAUGAAUGUUAAAGUAUUUGAACACUAGAGUUAGUGUGUGUAACGUUGAAGAGGGUAUGAAUGUUAAAGUAUUUGAACACUAGAGUUAGUGUGUGGCAUCAAAGAGAAAAGUGUGACAUCAAAGAAUAAAAGCUAGAGUUAGCAUUAAAAGUGUGGCAUCAAAGAACAAUAGAGUUAGUGUAAUGACAUGAAUGAAAGUAAAGAAUGCAAAGAACUUGAGAUUGAGACACAAUGACAUACAACCUUAGAGCUAAGGGUCAUUUGUGCAUAAUUU
Molecule: long non-coding RNA, 347 nt
Filed under: Ananas comosus (pineapple)
Lineage: Eukaryota; Viridiplantae; Streptophyta; Magnoliopsida; Poales; Bromeliaceae
Description: long non-coding RNA (ACOM_LNC039019)
Source: RNAcentral